CAGCAGCCACGGGAAUACGUAGGGUGCGAGCGUUAAUCGGAAUUACUGGGCGUAAAGCGUGCGCAGGCGGUUAUAUAAGACAGAUGUGAAAUCCCCGGGCUCAACCUGGGACCUGCAUUUGUGACUGUAUAGCUAGAGUACGGUAGAGGGGGAUGGAAUUCGGCGUGUAGCAGUGAAAUGCGUAGAUAUGCGGAGGAACACCGAUGGCGAAGGCAAUCCCCUGGACCUGUACUGACGCUCAUGCACGAAAGCGUGGGGAGCAAACAGGAUUAGAUACCCCUGUAGUCCCUGUCUCUUAUAC
RNAcentral lists this ribosomal RNA (301 nucleotides) under uncultured bacterium. Its description in RNAcentral is "partial 16S ribosomal RNA". It matches the Rfam family "Bacterial small subunit ribosomal RNA", at positions 509 to 807 of the family's 1533-position model. The record is from RNAcentral.